RNAcentral lists this unclassified non-coding RNA (262 nucleotides) under Hevea brasiliensis (rubber tree). The record is from RNAcentral. Lineage: Eukaryota; Viridiplantae; Streptophyta; Magnoliopsida; Malpighiales; Euphorbiaceae.
AGGCUUUAUGAUGAGCCGUUUUACCCUGCUUUUUCGCCGCUCAAGGUUUAUGUAUACGAAAUGCCGGCGAAAUUCACUUAUGAUUUGCUUUGGUUGUUUCAUAACACGUAUAAAGAGACUUCAAAUCUUACCUCUAAUGGUAGUCCUGUUCACCGCUUGAUCGAACAGCAUUCAAUUGAUUACUGGUUGUGGGCGGACUUGAUAGCGCCAGAAUCAGAGAGGUUACUGAAGAAUGUAGUGAGAGUAUACAAGCAGGAGGAAG